AACAAAAACAUGUCUUUUUGAGGUUAAAUAUAAAGUCUAAUCUGCCCACUGAUAAAUUAUUUAAUGGCCGCAGUAUUUUAACUGUGCAAAGGUAGCAUAAUAAUUAGCUUUUUAAUUGAAGGCUUGUAUGAAUGAUUGGACGAGAUAUAAACUGUCUCAUAAAAAUUUUUUUUUGAAUUUAAUUUUUUAGUUAAAAAGCUAAAAUAAAUUUAAAAGACGAGAAGACCCCAUAGAUCUUUAUAUUUUUUUUAUUAUUAUUCUGUAGUUUUUUUAUAGAUUAAUAAAUAAAAAUAUUUUGUUGGGGUGACAUUGAAAUUUAAUAAACUUUCAAAAUUUAAUAACAUUAAUCUAUGAAUUUAUGAUCCUUUAUUAUUGAUUAAAAAUUUAAGUUACCUUGGGGAUAACAGCGUAAUUAUUUUGGAGAGUUCUUAUUGAUAAAAUAGAUUGCGACCUCGAUGUUGGAUUAAGAUUAAUUUUGGGUGUAGCAGUUCAAAUUAUUAAGUCUGUUCGACUUUUAAUUUCUUACGUGAU
Molecule: ribosomal RNA, 531 nt
Filed under: Campsicnemus setiger
Lineage: Eukaryota; Metazoa; Arthropoda; Insecta; Diptera; Dolichopodidae
Description: partial 16S ribosomal RNA
Rfam family: Bacterial large subunit ribosomal RNA
Source: RNAcentral